This 77-nucleotide non-coding RNA is filed under the name Alexandrium minutum. Lineage: Eukaryota; Dinophyceae; Gonyaulacales; Pyrocystaceae. The record is from RNAcentral.
UUUUUUUUUUUUUUUUUUUUUUUUUUUUUUUUUUUUUUUUUUUUUUUUUUUUUUUUUCAAGACAGCAGGGAAUGGAU